Molecule: ribosomal RNA, 286 nt
Filed under: uncultured bacterium
Lineage: Bacteria
Description: partial 16S ribosomal RNA
Rfam family: Bacterial small subunit ribosomal RNA
Source: RNAcentral
UUGCACCUACGGGAGGCAGCAGUCGGGAAUAUUGCGCAAUGGAGGAAACUCUGACGCAAUGACGCCGCGUGCAGGAAGAAGGUUUUCGGAUUGUAAACUGCUUUAGAUAGGGAAGAAAAAAAUGACAGUACCUAUAGAAUAAGCUCCGGCUAACUACGUGCCAGCAGCCGCGGUAAUACGUAGGGAGCGAGCGUUAUCCGGAUUUAUUGGGUGUAAAGGGUGCGUAGAUGGAUAAACAAGUUGGUUGUGAAAUCCCUCGGCUUAACUGAGGAAUCGCAACCAACCC